UCAAGUCUAGGUGGAGAUGUUUGAAUCGU
Molecule: small RNA, 29 nt
Filed under: Bombyx mori (domestic silkworm)
Lineage: Eukaryota; Metazoa; Arthropoda; Insecta; Lepidoptera; Bombycidae
Description: ovarian small RNA-24775
Source: RNAcentral